UCACAGGCCGGCUCCCCACUGUCAAGGGCCCUGAUUGGGCCCGACAGCAGGCGCAAAGGAGAGGCCCCCGCCGCCUCUGAAGGACACCGACAGGUGGGAGGCCGCUUCGGAGCCGGGGGGCGGGGGCGGCUCGCCUCGCCUCGGCGGGAUAGAAAAGGCCGAGCGGCGAGGCCGGAGCAGACGGACGCGAGGACGUUGGCGCUGUGGCAGAGAUGCUCCGUGCAUGCAAAGUGAGGCGUUUUUGUGAGGUUGUUUCUACGAGAGGGAAGGCGUCGACGCAGGAAACGACGACGAGCCACUCGUCCCGUCGUUACGCCCUGAAAAAGAGCGGCUACUGUUAACUCGGCUCCAAAGGGCCCAGACGCCAGCGCUGGCCUCAUCCAAAAGCAAAACCAAAGAAAGGUAAGAAUGAAGAGGACAUGCGGGCUUUCUCUCUAACACCUCCUCAUCUUCUUCCUCUUCCUCUUCCUCCUCCUCCUCUUCUUCUUCUUCUUCUUCUUCUUCUUCUUUGCUCAGCUGAAGCAACACACCUUGCUGUGGCUGGUCAAACGGAACCAAGUCAGGUGUUUCUGUGAGGUUUGGUCCCCUUCAACCAGCUACUGCGUCGUGCAUUCCGUCAGCGGACGCCUGGCCGCGUGCGUGGUUGUCAUAGUAACGGUGACAGAUGUGAAUUUGUCGUGCAGCGUGGAGUUAUGAGCUGUUUGCUGUGUGUGACAAUAAAGCAAUAAAAUAAC
This is a long non-coding RNA of Phyllopteryx taeniolatus (common seadragon), 734 nucleotides long. RefSeq lists it as uncharacterized. The transcript has 2 exons. NCBI's taxonomy places the organism in Eukaryota, Metazoa, Chordata, Actinopteri, Syngnathiformes, Syngnathidae. The record is from RefSeq and is a predicted model, not a curated record.